CCCUUAGAUGUUCUGGGCCGCACGCGUGCUACACUGAGUGGAUCAGCGGGUCAGGUUGCGCGAAAGCGUUUCCUAAUCUUUAAAUCCGCUCGUGAUGGGGAUUGACGGUUGCAAUUUUCUGUCAUGAACGAGGAAUACCUUGUAAGCGCGGGUCAUCAUCCCGCGCUGAAUACGUCCCUGCCCUUUGUACACACCGCCCGUCGCUCCUACCGAUUGAGUGGUCCGGUGAGGCUUUGGGAUCUGAGCGGCAAGAGCGUUUCGCUGUUUCUGCUCGGAAAACUCAGUCGAACCUUAUCAUUUAGAGGAAGGAGAAGUCGUAACA
This 322-nucleotide ribosomal RNA is filed under the name uncultured eukaryote. RNAcentral describes it as "partial 18S ribosomal RNA". It matches the Rfam family "Eukaryotic small subunit ribosomal RNA", at positions 1470 to 1796 of the family's 1831-position model. The record is from RNAcentral.